UACGAAGGGGGCUAGCGUUGUUCGGAAUCACUGGGCGUAAAGGGCGCGUAGGCGGCUUUAUAAGUCGGGGGUGAAAGCCUGUGGCUCAACCACAGAACUGCCUUCGAUACUGGAAAGCUCGAGUCCGGGAGAGGUGAGUGGAACUGCGAGUGUAGAGGUGAAAUUCGUAGAUAUUCGCAAGAACACCAGUGGCGAAGGCGGCUCACUGGCCCGGUACUGACGCUGAGGUGCGAAAGCGUGGGGAGCAAACAGG
RNAcentral lists this ribosomal RNA (253 nucleotides) under uncultured bacterium. Its description in RNAcentral is "partial 16S ribosomal RNA". It matches the Rfam family "Bacterial small subunit ribosomal RNA", at positions 524 to 776 of the family's 1533-position model. The record is from RNAcentral.